Molecule: long non-coding RNA, 6115 nt
Organism: Alligator mississippiensis (American alligator)
Lineage: Eukaryota; Metazoa; Chordata; Crocodylia; Alligatoridae
Exons: 2
Source: RefSeq, a predicted model, not a curated record
AUACUAAAAACAAACACGAAAAUAUUAAAUUACAUUUUUAAAAGGGCACAGACUAUUCUGAAGAUGUAAGAUUACAAAUAUGGAGGCACACACAGUAUUAAAAGAUUAUAUGCACAAAGCGGUAUGUGCAAGGACCAAUUACAAUUUUAGAAUAAAACAGUAGUUCUCGACUUUUUAUUUAGACUCAAUGCACCCCUCCAAAAUUUUUCAAAAAUUAGUGGCACCUCAGUAAAAGGACUUAUUUAAAUAGACUAUGAAUAUUAUCAUAUAUACAUGAUAAUUAUAUUAUUAAUUAAUAUGUUAGCAAUUAGUAAUUAUAAGAUAUUAUAUUCAGCCUAUUGCCAGGGCAGUGGCUGCCAGGUGGAACUGUACCACAUAUCUCCUGCAGAGUUAAACUGGGAAAUGAUUGUGGCUCUUGCCACAAGCCCUACUAGUUCAACCCUACAUGGUAAUUAUAAUCAUGGUCCAAUAAUCUGUUGCCCAACUUGCCAUCCACUUCUACAUCCCCCACCAAUCUUUCCCUGUUUCCCACCCCACUAAUGGUCCAAAUCCAGUAAGUAAUUUUUCUCAGUGUUAUGUCUACAAUGAGCACAUUCCAUGCCUAACACAAUUCCUGUAUGCCAACCAAGCUUCUCCAUCCCAGGGCUUUAGGACUUUAUUUUCGUCCUUCUGGUUCCUGCAAGCCCCUCUGGCAGAUGAUGCUGUAACUGAAAGCCAGGAGUGAAUCUUCCAUGUUUUCAGUAUCCCUCUUGCUAGUACCCGAGCACUGCGGAAGACUAGACUAUAUCUGAAUGAAGAUGGAUGGGGAACAAACAGAGGACUGACAGUCUGUAGAUGAACAGAAGAAGAAAAGGAGCCAGUGACAAAAGAGUAUGAGCUUGAGGGAAAGGAAGUAGCAGAAGGAUCUUAAUUAACAGAUCAUAGUGCACUUCAAAAUAGGAGUAUGCUCAGCAUUCCCAUGUCCAACAUACCUUUAUUGUCUAGGGAAUAAAUAUGAAACUAUUCACUGAAAAUUUUGUGCCCUGGUCCCCCUCCACUGACUGAUCUACAUGCAGAAUAAAAGCCUACUAAUGAACUUGGUACUCUUUUAGCUCAAGUGGUAAGGUUUUACAAAACUGAUAAAGAGAGUCACAAUUUGGGGUGUUAAUACAAUUGCAUAUAACAAAAUAUUCACCCACCCAAGCUUGCUUAAAAACAACACAAAACAAAAACACAGAACCGUAAGAAAAUUGCAUGCGUGCGCGCACAUAUACAUACAUAAGCUUCUCCCCCUCAAAAAACCUACGUUAAGUGCUUUACAUUAAGAAACACUUCAAUUAAGCUUGCCUGUAGGAUUUUAUUCAUUUGCAUUUAUUGAUGCAUUAUGGUAUCAUUUUAAAUGACAUAUUGGAAUUGGAAAUAUUACUAUUUCCAUAAGAUGCCACCUAAUUAAGUGCACAGGAAGGUCAGUACUUGGAAAGAAUCAAGACUGCACAGUAAAUAAGGUUGCUAUGUACAAGACCUCUUAUUCAUUUACUGCAGAAAUAGCAGGUGCAUAGUAAACAGAAGAGAGGAAAAAAUAAAAGGACAAUCUUGUGUUUAAGGCAGCUGAGCACCAUUCCCAGGAAACUGGAUUAAGUCAGAGCUCCCAUGUGAUGCUGGGCAAAAUCACAGCAUCAUAAGCUUAAAGAGGGAAACUCAAGGGACACCUAGUUCAAUCCUUGCACAGAUGCACAGCUCCUAAAUCAUCCCAGGCCUACACAUCCUUCACGAAAAAUCCUAUGAAGGAUGUUCUGCAGCUCCCCUAGCCAGCAUGCUCCAUUACCCUACUGUUCUUACAGUUAAAAUGUUUUUCUUCAAAUAUGCUAUAGUUUAAAAUCAACAGCUCACAUCCUUCCCUUCUGUGGCAAGGAAGAAUGCUAGGUCUUCAUCCUAUUUUUAGCAUUUUUUCCAAGUAUUUGAAAACUGCUGUAACGUUACCCCUUAUUUUUUUUCUCCAAGAGGAAACUUGCCUGGUUCUUUCACCCUUCCCUCAUACUGCUGACUUUUUAAAACCUAUAUCAUCUCUGGCAAUGACCUCCGACCCUCCAGUUUCUCUACGUUGUUUUAAAAAUACAAUACACUGAACAGCAUGUGCUAUCAGCAUCCAGGCUUUGCAUUAAAUGCUUCUGUUAAUACAACCAAAAAUUGAGUUUUUUUAAUUGUUUUAGCAACAUGAUGCUGAAUAACAGACGUCUGUGGAACCCCACUUGAGACCCCCUGCCAAUCCAACAAGGAUCUACCUGACAAAGGUUCUUGGCUGGAGUCUUCUCAGGAGUCUUGGCUGCAAGUUUUUCUGGAGUCUUGUCUGCUUUCUUAAAGAAAGCGUCCAAGCAAGUUUGGACAGAUAUUCUCCAGAGAGAUGAGCAGCACAGCGAACUUGUUCGCUGACAUGGUGUCGCAUCGGAUCAAGCGUCCUAACUUGAAGCAGAUGUCAUAAAGUUGAAAUGGUGUCAAUUUAUAAAUGUUGUAACUUGAAACACUAAGUCAAGGACUGCCUGUAUUCAUUUGCCCCUGGCUGCCUGUCAAAGAUAGAAAGGUGCCAGCAGCAGCAGGACCCAGUGGCAGCAGCAAGGCCUACCCCACCACCAGGCACCAACUGGAAGCUUCUGCCUAGAGGCUUCCAGCCUGGGACCCUGUGGCUGUUCCCCCCCGCUCUCCCUCCACCCAAGAAGGAAACAGAGAUAAGAAUGGGUAGAAGGAGCAGGGGAGGAUCGCCAGUACAGCAGACGCCAGACCGGCCCGGCCACUUCAGUUCCCUGCUGACUUCUGCUGCGCUGUGUGGUCCCGGGCACGCAGCUGGGAAUCACUGGGUGCUGGAGUGGCAGAUGGGCACGGGGGGAGGAGCAGUGGCAGCAGGCAGGAAGCAGAGAUGUGGCGGAAAAUUUUCCAGUGCUUUAUUUUUCCAUAAGAAAUUUUCCAUUUCUAAAAAUCCACUGUUUCAUAACAUUCAUUAGUAACAAUGAAUGGAUGCCAAUAUAAUAUUAGGCAAGCUUGGCAAUUUCAAAGUUGUAAUUAUUGUUCUUCAGGUGAUUAUCCCUAGGAAGUGAGAGAGAGAGUACAUAUAUGUUUUGCUGAUUUGUAAACAGGACAGUAAAUACACACGCAUAAUAAUCCAAACCAAAAAUCAAGUUAUGAAUUCACCUAAUUGGCUGUGCAGGUCAAAUCAAAACUAAAGCACAGCAUAUCGUGCACAGUUCUUUGAGUGUACUAAAAUUAGUGUGUUAACAGCUUUCACUGCCAUUUUUUUCUUGAAUUUCAACAAUGUAAGGAAAGUACAUGCUAUUGUGUAUUGUCUUUACAUUUUUACAAGUAUUCCAAUAAAAAUAUAUAUUUUUUCACAUAAAGCUUUGAAUUUGUUUAAAUAUAACGUUUAAACCACAUUAAGUGUGCUGUAUUUAAUUUUUUCCUAAUCAAAUAUUUCAGUGCAAAUACUUGUGGCUAUUGGGACAAAAUUAACAUGGGGGUAUGUUUUUAGUUUUGUUUACUAAAUAUAAGUCAAAUAAACACACUAUUUAGGGCACUGGAAAAUUUUCUGGAAAACCCACAUCUCUGGCAGGAAGGAAGGGAACAGAAGCCACCAGGGAAGAGAAACACCAGCAGGCAAGUGGCAGCAAGCGGGAGUGUGGGGCCCGGGCUGGCAGGAGCUCUACGGAGCUAAGCCAGCUCCACCACUCGCCCUGCCACUGGCUUGGCCACAUGCAAUCCUGACGCUUGCCAGGACAACACACUGCCGGGGGCCUCCGUCUGCCACAGGCCAUGACUGCCAUACACACGCACCUGCAUUCCCCAUGCACACCCCACAUCCCUCCUCACAGACCCCAGCCAUCCUGCCCCCCCACACGACACAACCCCCAGCCAGCUUCCUCCCCACAAACAGCAUACUACCCCCCCACCCCCCCCAGACCUAUCCACCCCCUCCACAAACCCCACUAUUUCCUGCUCCCUGCUCCUGAGGAUGGGGUGGGGUAGUGCAGUGGGAGGGGGCCAGGGUGCCAAAGUCAUACAUGCAGCACAGGGGUCAGGUUGCCUGUGCCGGGUGCAGUGAAAGAAGGGGCUAGACUGCUUGCACUGCAUGUGACAGAGAACCCAGACUGCCUGCACUGCAUACGGGCAGCACUGCACGUGUAGCUUGCUAACUAAAAUUAUUUCAAAUUUGUCGUAAGUUCUCCAAUGAUCUCUGUAUUUAUUACAUUCCAAAUUUCUUCCCGUUUUUUUCCCCUUCGUACUAAAUUUGCUAACCAUUUGAUUGCAGUUUCUGGUUAGUGAAAAUAAAGCAACACAGAAGCUCUGCCUUCUUUGCAAUUUCUAUUAACAGAUCUGUCAAGCCUUGGACCCAUAGUUUCCUUGAUGUUGCUUUUCCAUUGACAUUUGUAGAACUCCUUUUUGUCUUUAACAUUUCUUGCCAAUUUCAACUCAUUCUUCACCUUUUCUUUCUUGAAUUUGCCCCUAUACAUAUUUAUUAUACUUAGUAGUAUGUCCUUCCUUCCAUUGCCUGCACGCAUCUUUUCAUUUUCAGAUAAUUACAAGGUGCAUUUAUAGCCAUAUCAUGUUUGUAGUUCUUCUUUUCCUUGUGUUGGAAUACUAUAAUGUUGAGCCUGCAAAGGAGGGCCAGUCUUUCUGGAGUUUUCCCUUUCAGUUUGCCUAUAAAGGCGACCUUACGUACUAUUUUUGACUUAGUCAAAACCUGACUAAGUCCAGUGUCUUUGCUAUGCUAUUCUCAUGCCUCCCUUUCAUUAGGAUCACAAAUUCCAUCAUACCAUAAUCAUUCCUCCCACGUUUGACAAGUUUUAUGUUUACAACCAGUGAACAUAAUUUACUUUGGAUCAAAAUAAGAUUCAAGAUGACCCCCAGUUGCCUGCCCAGCUUUCUGAAAAGAGUGAAACAGGACCUCCCUGGGUAUUUUAUUUUUUUCUCUCCCUAUAGCUGGGACUUUGAAGUGCCCUAUUGCUAUUACCCCAAACAUUUUUUUUUUUUUUUUAACGAAAUGAAAUUUGCCUUCUUCCUCUGCCCUUCCUGAUUUGUAUGUAUAUCAUGCCUUCACUAUACUUUCCCCCUUUUUAUUUAUUUAUUUUUAUCUUUACCACAUACCCAAUGCCACUUUUCUGUUCUUGAACUUCAGAAGAAAUAUGCACAUUUUCGAAAUAUACCACAAUGCCUUCUCCUCCUUUUUCCCCACUAUACUCUUCUGAACCAAGGUACUCUUUCAGUGUGGAUAUUCUAAUCAUGGGAAUUAGUCCAAGUUUUGGUUAAUUCCAAUUAAGUUUACUAAGACAUCCAGCUCAUCUCGCUCUUAGAACUGGUAUAUGGGCAAAGAUACUUCACAGAUUACUGCCCGCCUUUCCUCCUCCUCUUUUUUAAGUAUUAUUUCCCAAACUUCCUACAAAAUUAAGCUGCUCCUUUCUUAGUAAAUGAAGCUUUUUAAAGGGAGCCUUAAUAGUAUAUUUCUCAUUUUCUGGGCAUCCCAAAGUGAGACACUUAGGGCCUGAUCUGCACAACUGCAACUGAUACACUUGGAUGUUAUAGUGAUAAUCACCUCAGAAAAACAAGGAGGAAAUAAAACACACUAUUCAUUAUGUUCAAUUUGUUUAGAUGGUGUGUAAACCAAGUCCCUGAGAGCCACAUACCCAAAGCAAAGGAUUAAAAAAAGAUUUUAAACAGCUGCAAUAAGUGAGUUUCAUUCAUAAGCAGCAGGUGGGAAAGGUUUCUGUGCAAGAAGUAUGGUGAUAUAAUUAAAGAACACAUUAUAACGUAUGGUAACAUAUACAUACAGGAGAAGCUAAAUUAAGGUUCCCCAAUUUGAAUGUCUGACUGUGUAAACUCAUGGUUCUUUUUAAAAGUUUUUUUUUUAUAUAUGCUUUUCUAGUUUUGAAUAUUACUUUUAUGCAACUGUUUGAAUUGUUUCCAUGAAAGCCUCUUAACAGAUUUUUGUUCUAAAGUUAUAUACAUACUAGUCUGCUACUCAUAAAAUAGUUGAUAAUAUAUUAAGUUAAAGGAAAAAUCUACUGCAACUCUUCAAAUUUCAGAUUUUGGAUUAUAACAAUAAUACAUGUAGGUGUCAUUCUUAAAGAAAGUAAAGCUUAUUGGUUGGAGGCUA